ACUUAAAUUGAAGAGUUUGAUCAUGGCUCAGAUUGAACGCUGGCGGCAGGCCUAACACAUGCAAGUCGAGCGGUAGCACAGAGAGCUUGCUCUCGGGUGACGAGCGGCGGACGGGUGAGUAAUGUCUGGGAAACUGCCUGAUGGAGGGGGAUAACUACUGGAAACGGUAGCUAAUACCGCAUAAUGUCGCAAGACCAAAGUGGGGGACCUUCGGGCCUCAUGCCAUCAGAUGUGCCCAGAUGGGAUUAGCUAGUAGGUGGGGUAACGGCUCACCUAGGCGACGAUCCCUAGCUGGUCUGAGAGGAUGACCAGCCACACUGGAACUGAGACACGGUCCAGACUCCUACGGGAGGCAGCAGUGGGGAAUAUUGCACAAUGGGCGCAAGCCUGAUGCAGCCAUGCCGCGUGUAUGAAGAAGGCCUUCGGGUUGUAAAGUACUUUCAGCGGGGAGGAAGGCGAUAAGGUUAAUAACCUUGUCGAUUGACGUUACCCGCAGAAGAAGCACCGGCUAACUCCGUGCCAGCAGCCGCGGUAAUACGGAGGGUGCAAGCGUUAAUCGGAAUUACUGGGCGUAAAGCGCACGCAGGCGGUCUGUCAAGUCGGAUGUGAAAUCCCCGGGCUCAACCUGGGAACUGCAUUCGAAACUGGCAGGCUAGAGUCUUGUAGAGGGGGGUAGAAUUCCAGGUGUAGCGGUGAAAUGCGUAGAGAUCUGGAGGAAUACCGGUGGCGAAGGCGGCCCCCUGGACAAAGACUGACGCUCAGGUGCGAAAGCGUGGGGAGCAAACAGGAUUAGAUACCCUGGUAGUCCACGCCGUAAACGAUGUCGAUUUGGAGGUUGUGCCCUUGAGGCGUGGCUUCCGGAGCUAACGCGUUAAAUCGACCGCCUGGGGAGUACGGCCGCAAGGUUAAAACUCAAAUGAAUUGACGGGGGCCCGCACAAGCGGUGGAGCAUGUGGUUUAAUUCGAUGCAACGCGAAGAACCUUACCUGGUCUUGACAUCCACAGAACUUAGCAGAGAUGCUUUGGUGCCUUCGGGAACUGUGAGACAGGUGCUGCAUGGCUGUCGUCAGCUCGUGUUGUGAAAUGUUGGGUUAAGUCCCGCAACGAGCGCAACCCUUAUCCUUUGUUGCCAGCGGUUAGGCCGGGAACUCAAAGGAGACUGCCAGUGAUAAACUGGAGGAAGGUGGGGAUGACGUCAAGUCAUCAUGGCCCUUACGACCAGGGCUACACACGUGCUACAAUGGCAUAUACAAAGAGAAGCGACCUCGCGAGAGCAAGCGGACCUCAUAAAGUAUGUCGUAGUCCGGAUUGGAGUCUGCAACUCGACUCCAUGAAGUCGGAAUCGCUAGUAAUCGUAGAUCAGAAUGCUACGGUGAAUACGUUCCCGGGCCUUGUACACACCGCCCGUCACACCAUGGGAGUGGGUUGCAAAAGAAGUAGGUAGCUUAACCUUCGGGAGGGCGCUUACCACUUUGUGAUUCAUGACUGGGGUGAAGUCGUAACAAGGUAACCGUAGGGGAACCUGCGGUUGGAUCACCUCCUUACCUUAAAGAA
This 1554-nucleotide ribosomal RNA is filed under the name Klebsiella quasipneumoniae. RNAcentral describes it as "bacterial SSU rRNA". It matches the Rfam family "Bacterial small subunit ribosomal RNA". Lineage: Bacteria; Pseudomonadati; Pseudomonadota; Gammaproteobacteria; Enterobacterales; Enterobacteriaceae. The record is from RNAcentral.